This 305-nucleotide unclassified non-coding RNA is filed under the name Hevea brasiliensis (rubber tree). The record is from RNAcentral. Lineage: Eukaryota; Viridiplantae; Streptophyta; Magnoliopsida; Malpighiales; Euphorbiaceae.
GGCAAGUUGUUUCUGGGGGAAUGGCAUCCUCUGAUAGGAGGCUUGAAGAGAAGAAGGGGUUGCAAGUUGUUCCUGGGGGAAUGGCUUCCUCUGAGAGGAAACUUGAAGAGAAGGCCUUCAAUUUCAAUAAUGAAGAAGUUAAGGCUUCUGAUUCAACUGUUGAUGCGGAAAUGGCACAAGCACCCAUCAAAACCACUGGUGUUGAUAAGGAUGUUGAGGCGACUGAAGCGACGGGGAAAUUGGAGGAUAUGGCUUCAACUGCCAGUCAGGAGGAGGUUAAGUGUCUUGAAAACUCAGAGGAGUCA